GAUGAACGCUGGCGGCGUGCUUAACACAUGCAAGUCGAACGGAAAGGCCCAAGCUUGCUUGGGUACUCGAGUGGCGAACGGGUGAGUAACAAGUGGGUGAUCUGCCCUGCACUUCGGGAUAAGCCUGGGAAACUGGGUCUAAUACCGGAUAGGACCACUUCUUGGAUGUUGUGGUGGAAAGUUUUUUCGGUGUGGGAUGAGCUCGCGGCCUAUCAGCUUGUUGGUGGGGUAAUGGCCUACCAAGGCGUCUACGGGUAGCCGGCCUGAGAGGGUGUACGGCCACAGUGGGACUGAGAUGCGGCCCAGACUCGUACGGGAGGCAGCAGUGGGGAAUAUUGCACAAUGGGGGCAAGCCUGAUGCAGCGACGCCGCGUGGGGGAUGACGGCCUUCGGGGUGUAAACUCCUGUCGCUAGGGACGAAGCGUUUUUGUGACGGUACCUGGAGAAGAAGCACCGGCUAACUACGUG
This 468-nucleotide ribosomal RNA is filed under the name uncultured bacterium. RNAcentral describes it as "partial 16S ribosomal RNA". It matches the Rfam family "Bacterial small subunit ribosomal RNA", at positions 28 to 507 of the family's 1533-position model. The record is from RNAcentral.